RNAcentral lists this ribosomal RNA (508 nucleotides) under bacterium RD6-9. RNAcentral's name for it is "bacterial SSU rRNA". It matches the Rfam family "Bacterial small subunit ribosomal RNA", at positions 30 to 527 of the family's 1533-position model. The record is from RNAcentral.
ANUNAACGCUGGCGGCAGGCUUAACNCAUGCAAGUCGNNCGGUAACAGGGGAGCUUGCUCCUGCUGACGAGCGGCGGACGGGUGAGUAACGCGUAGGAAUCUACCUAGUAGAGGGGGACAACAUGUGGAAACGCAUGCUAAUACCGCAUACACCCUAAGGGGGAAAGGAGGGGACUCUUCGGAGCCUUCCGCUAUUAGAUGAGCCUGCGUGAGAUUAGCUAGUUGGUAGGGUAAAGGCCUACCAAGGCGACGAUCUCUAACUGGUCUGAGAGGAUGACCAGUCACACUGGGACUGAGACACGGCCCAGACUCCUACGGGAGGCAGCAGUGGGGAAUAUUGGACAAUGGGCGGAAGCCUGAUCCAGCCAUGCCGCGUGUGUGAAGAAGGCCUUAGGGUUGUAAAGCACUUUCAGGGGUGAGGAAGGGUAACUGGCUAAUAUCCAGUUAUCUUGACGUUAGCCCCAGAAGAAGCACCGGCUAACUCUGUGCCAGCAGCCGCGGGUUAAUA